Molecule: long non-coding RNA, 1591 nt
Organism: Anser brachyrhynchus (Pink-footed goose)
Lineage: Eukaryota; Metazoa; Chordata; Aves; Anseriformes; Anatidae
Source: Ensembl
GCAAAUAAUAUCGACCCUUUCAACAAUGUUUUCAUAGCCUUUUUUAUUAAGCUGUUGUGACAUUGCCUAGUAGUUCAUUUUGUACUAUUGGUUCUUUACUUAAAGAUAUUGUACUUAUAGACCACCUACAACAGUCUUAUCUAAAACAGGGAGAUUAUCAAGAAAAAGUCAAAAGAAGUCCAAUGUGUGAAUUUUUUGUUUGUUUUUUCCUUGUACAGGAAUUCAUGAUUCUUCAGUGGAGCUGACAUGGGUUUCUGAGGCUCUGAAACAGGACAACCAACCACACAGACAACUGGCAUUCAUGUCAUUCCUUUGAAGCAUCGUCAGUGACAAGCAUUUAGCUGAGGUGCUUAUGUCAAGAUUCAAGCUGUUAAAAGUCAAUGUCAAUCACCAAAAGAUAAAAUCUUAAAAAUCAAUUUAUGAAGGAGCUGGAUUAUUCUAAAGCUAAGCAAGACCAAAGUCCUACUGGUUGUCAUUGGAAAGCACUCUGACGGACCAGCAGUCUCCGUGAGCAGAAGGCACAGAGCCACGUUCGCCGGUUUGGCCGGGACCUCAGGACUGUGGACUCCUUGGGGCUCAUGGGAUACUUCUGAAGUGUCUGCAAAAGUACAUCAUAAUCAGGCAUGUCAAGUGGGGUCAGGCUGGAAUACACAGCUGGAGGAACAGGAAGAAGAAAUUUGUGAGAGCAAGUGCACGGGAAGAAAGCAGGGCUGCUAUGAAAGGACACAAAAGAGGACUUGGAGACUGUGUGAAGAAUGUGUUAGAAAUGGACUGGAGGUCUGCUAUUUUUACCAAAGGACCUUUGAGAGAAGAGUGCUUUACAGUAAAGACCAGCUGUUGCUCGUGGUCUUAAUUCUGGAUCUGAAACUUCCUGCCUGGUUCCGUGAGCCUCAAAGCAGCAAGAAGAGAAAAGAGCUGCAGGCUCCAUACAGUGAGAUGUCAAGGAGACGGGUGCAAGAUCAACAUGCCAUAGAACCAAAUUUCCAGCAAAAGCACAGUGUCUCCGUACGUGUCCACAGGCCAGGGGCGUAACAAGAUUGAUGCUCAGCCAAGGGGUGGGUACCAAGAGGUACAUGGGGUGCCUGACACCCGUCUGCCUGCUCCCUGUGGAGAUCUAGCAUCUCUGCUACUCCGGGUCUGUCAUUUUGCACAGCAUAAGGGGCAACGGAGAGACUUUGCUGGAUUUCUCUCUUUUAGAGGACGUUUGGAAGGAUCUAAUAUUUCCUUGUGCGGGAUAAACUCGUCCUGACGUCCCUUCCCGCUGCCCUGUGCCAUCCCCGGCCCUGUCCCUGCCCUGCCGCUUCCCUCUCCCCUCAGGCGGGCCCUCGCCCUCAGCCCCGGCUUCCCCGGCGGCACCGGGCCCUCACGGCGCCCUCUGCCCCCGGUCCCUGCGGCUCCUCAGCCGCCCGCCAUGCCGGCCCAGGACCCCGGCCGCAUCCCCUCACCCUCCCCGCGGCUCUGCGUCGCCUCCCCCUUCCCUCCGCUCUCCUCCUCCCCUCAGGCAGCCGCACGCACCGCACUCUCCCUCACUCUCACACGCACACACACACACACGCACACCCGCACAGGCGAUGCAGCUUUAAAGGGACCA